UGGCUCAGUUGGUAGGGCAUGGUGCUUGCGAUGCCAGGGUUGUGGGUUAGAUUCCCAU
Non-coding RNA from Salmo salar (Atlantic salmon), 58 nucleotides. The record is from Rfam. Lineage: Eukaryota; Metazoa; Chordata; Actinopteri; Salmoniformes; Salmonidae.